CGUUAUUUAUAGUCAUCGCUGCUGCUGCUGCUUUCAACAACAAGCUUUAUUAUUUGACACACAACAAUCUCCACAUACCGGCAUUCAUUGUCGGACAAAUCAACGUUUCUCUUGACAAUUUCCUGAUAUGCGUGGCCCUUCCAACAGCAGCCGAGUAGCGCGCUAUACCUCUGGGUCAUAUGAUAGCAAAAGAGAUACAACCAAUGUUGCAUUUACCGAUUAUUAUAUCAUAACGUCGUUCUCAUUGGUCAUCAUCUACCGCCCAUGUGCUAAGUACUGCCUUGCUAGCACUCAUGCAUUAAUUAUUACUUUC
This 313-nucleotide small RNA is filed under the name Cryptococcus neoformans H99. Its description in RNAcentral is "Cryptococcus neoformans var. grubii H99 hypothetical RNA". The record is from RNAcentral. Lineage: Eukaryota; Fungi; Basidiomycota; Tremellomycetes; Tremellales; Cryptococcaceae.